This is a long non-coding RNA of Corvus hawaiiensis (hawaiian crow), 1817 nucleotides long. RefSeq lists it as uncharacterized. The record is from RefSeq and is a predicted model, not a curated record. NCBI's taxonomy places the organism in Eukaryota, Metazoa, Chordata, Aves, Passeriformes, Corvidae. The transcript has 2 exons.
UUGGAUGGGGCUUUGCACAAACUGUGCUAGUGGAAGGUGUGCCUGCCCAUGGCAGGGGGAUUGGAACCAGAUGAUCUUUGAUCCCUUCCAACAUAAACCAUUCUGUUUUUCUGUGAACUAUUGCCAAGACUUCUUGACAAGGUGUGUUUUUCAGUAUUUUUCCACAAAGUCAAAAUAUGAAAUAAUCUCAGCACAAGAGACUUUGAAAAACAUUUUUCAAGGUUUGAGUUGUUUAAAAUAAAACUGACAUUUAGUAUAAAAAUUAUAACAAUUUUUAAGAAAUCCUUUAAUAUUUACUUGAUAAUAUCAUCUAGCUCCUUCAGUGUAAAAGUUAAUGUAUACUACUCUGGGUUGCAGUGUUGAUCACUAACAAUGCUGUAAUCCACAUCUAGGUUGGUAUUUUGACCUUGACAACGUGCCUCUUGUAUUUUUAUAAUGGAAAUAGGCAAUAAUUGUUUUUUUAAUAUAGCAGAGAUUAGUAUAACAAAUUGCCUUCACAUUAUAUAAAUGUAAGGCUGUAUUUGUUCCUACUCUAAUUUGUUAACUACAACAAAAAUAUUUAUUCCCCAUUGAAUAUAUUUAUUUAAUUUUUUUUUUCAGUUCACUAUCAGUCCAGUAAAGAAAAUGUGUGAAGGAUCAUUUAUUUAUUUAUUUAUUUAUUUAUACUUGAUAAUGAUGACGUUCCUGGAACUGUAGGAAUUUUUUUAUUUGGGGUUUGUUUGUUUGUAUUUGGUUUGUCGUUCUUUGUUUUCAAAACACUGCAGCAAAAGCAUGGGACAGUGAGAAUACGCUGGGCAAUUUCUUGUAAUAUUUAUUGGGUAUUGCUCUUAGACUGUAGGAAUAGUGGAAGAAUGACACUGGCAUUGACUCAACUUUUCUCUCCAGAGGCUGCAGUUUUCAUUUUCCACACAAUGUGAUGAAGUUGUACAAAGUAACUCUCAGCCUGAGCCAGCUUUGCCAAAUGGAAUGGUCACCAGUGUCUACCAGCAUGGAAUGGUUGCAAAGAGCAGCUGUUGGCAGCCUCAUGUUUCUGUCCCCAGCUCUGGCUGUGUCAGCAAGGUGCCCACUGAUGUCAGGGGGCAGAGGACGUUUAUACAAACUAGGUAAGACCUGGAGGGCAGAAAAAGGGUAAUAGCAGGAGGAAGAAUGAUGAUCAGCACCUGGUUUGUGGGCUGCCUUUCCCAGUUGGUCUCAGGCUUUUUGUGUGAAAGCUUAUUUCCUGAAUAAGGUGUUCCUGAAGCACCUUCUCCUGAAAGAAGGAUUAUGCAGUUAUCAUCCUUUUAAACAUUUUUAGCUUUUUAAAAGUAUCAUCACCCUCAGAGCCUUUAAGCAGUGCAGUUGUAGUGCAAAUCCUAAAGGCUGUGUGGAGGUGUGGCAGGCACUGCACAACCAGACUGUCCCUGGCCUGUUGCUGCUUCCCACACGUGGGAGAGCAGCUGGGAAUCCUCCAGCCCAGGGAAUCCCCCUCCAUUCAGACUCUGCAGGAGGUCACUGCUCAGCUGCUGCUGGGGUUUAGGCCAGUGCCUCCCCUCCCCAGCAUCAUCAGGUGUUGUAUUGUACCUUCUUGUUCCUGUUCUUCCCAAUUUCAGUGUGAUGGAAAUGUGCUGUGCUGACCUGCAUGGCUCCGUCCUGAAGCCUUGCAGGGCUGCAGCUGCAGCAGUAUUUCUCACGUGAUGCCCCUCCAUGUCUUACACUCCAUUCCUUGCAUGACCUUGCAUCGUUACCAGCUGUGUUUGCUUUUUUGUAACCACUUUAAAGUACACAAUCAAACUAACCUCCAAAUGCUUUUAUUCUAGAUAAACCCAUACAAACACCAA